ACGAUGGAGAGUUUGAUCCUGGCUCAGGAUGAACGCUAGCGGCAGGCCUAAUACAUGCAAGUCGAACGGUCCGCAAGGACAGUGGCAAACGGGUGCGUAACGCGUAAGCAACCUGCCCUCAACUGGGGGAUAGCCCGGCGAAAGCUGGGGUAAACCCGCACGGUCCAGUAGAAUCACCUGGUUUUACUGGUAAACAUUUAUGGGUUGAGGAGGGGCUUGCGUCUGAUUAGUUAGUUGGCAGGGUAACGGCCUACCAAGACGGUG
This 264-nucleotide ribosomal RNA is filed under the name Spirosoma validum. Its description in RNAcentral is "Bacterial small subunit ribosomal RNA". It matches the Rfam family "Bacterial small subunit ribosomal RNA", at positions 1 to 278 of the family's 1533-position model. The record is from Rfam by way of RNAcentral. Lineage: Bacteria; Pseudomonadati; Bacteroidota; Cytophagia; Cytophagales; Cytophagaceae.